RNAcentral lists this ribosomal RNA (607 nucleotides) under uncultured bacterium. RNAcentral's name for it is "bacterial SSU rRNA". It matches the Rfam family "Bacterial small subunit ribosomal RNA", at positions 26 to 613 of the family's 1533-position model. The record is from RNAcentral.
AGGACGAACGCUGGCGGCGUGCCUAACACAUGCAAGUCGAACGGAGAAAUCAGCAAUGAUUUCUUAGUGGCGAACGGGUGAGUAACACGUAGACAACCUGCCUUCCAGAUGGGAACAACAAUCCGAAAGGGUUGCUAAUACCGAAUGUGUUUGUUUCUUCAUAAGAAGAGACAAAGAAAGAUGGCCUCUAUUUAUAAGCUAUCGCUGGAAGAUGGGUCUGCGUCUGAUUAGCUAGUUGGUGGGGUAAUGGCCUACCAAGGCGACGAUCAGUAGCCGGUCUGAGAGGAUGAACGGCCACACUGGGACUGAGACACGGCCCAGACUCCUACGGGAGGCAGCAGUGGGGAAUCUUCCACAAUGGGCGAAAGCCUGAUGGAGCAACGCCGCGUGAGUGAAGAAGGCUUUCGGGUCGUAAAACUCUGUCUUCAGGGACGAAUGUGCGGAUUGUGAAUAAUGAGUCGCAAUGACGGUACCUGAGGAGGAAGCCACGGCUAACUACGUGCCAGCAGCCGCGGUAAUACGUAGUGGCAAGCGUUGUCCGGAAUUAUUGGGCGUAAAGCGCGCGCAGGCGGGAACAUUAGUCUAUCUUAAAAGUGCGGAGCUCAAC